This 296-nucleotide ribosomal RNA is filed under the name uncultured microorganism. RNAcentral's name for it is "partial 16S ribosomal RNA". It matches the Rfam family "Bacterial small subunit ribosomal RNA", at positions 505 to 796 of the family's 1533-position model. The record is from RNAcentral.
GUGCCAGCAGCCGCGGGUAAUACGGAGGGUGCAAGCGUUAAUCGGAAUUACUGGGCGUAAAGCGCACGCAGGCGGUUUUGUUAAGUCAGAUGUGAAAUCCCCGGGCUCAAACCUGGGAACUGCAUCUGAUACUGGCAAGCUUUGAGUCUCGUAGAGGGGGGUAGAAUUCCAGGUGUAGCGGUGAAAUGCGUAGAGAUCUGGAGGAAUACCGGUGGCGAAGGCGGCCCCCUGGACGAAGACUGACGCUCAGGUGCGAAAGCGUGGGGAGCAAACAGGAUUAGAUACCCUGGUAGUCC